UGCAGUCGAACGAUGAUCUGGAGCUUGCUCCAGGGAUUAGUGGCGAACGGGUGAGUAACACGUGAGUAACCUGCCCUUGACUCUGGGAUAAGCGUUGGAAACGACGUCUAAUACCGGAUAUGACUCCCGUCGGCAUCGGCUGGGGGUGGAAAGAUUUUUUGGUCAAGGAUGGACUCGCGGCCUAUCAGGUAGUUGGUGAGGUAAUGGCUCACCAAGCCGACGACGGGUAGCCGGCCUGAGAGGGUGACCGGCCACACUGGGACUGAGACACGGCCCAGACUCCUACGGGAGGCAGCAGUGGGGAAUAUUGCACAAUGGGCGAAAGCCUGAUGCAGCAACGCCGCGUGAGGGAUGACGGCCUUCGGGUUGUAAACCUCUUUUAGUAGGGAAGAAGCGAAAGUGACGGUACCUGCAGAAAAAGCACCGGCUAACUACGUGCCAGCAGCCGCGGUAAUACGUAGGGUGCAAGCGUUGUCCGGAAUUAUUGGGCGUAAAGAGCUCGUAGGCGGUUUGUCGCGUCUGCUGUGAAAUCUGGGGGCUCAACCCCCAGCCUGCAGUGGGUACGGGCAGACUAGAGUGCGGUAGGGGAGAUUGGAAUUCCUGGUGUAGCGGUGGAAUGCGCAGAUAUCAGGAGGAACACCGAUGGCGAAGGCAGAUCUCUGGGCCGUAACUGACGCUGAGGAGCGAAAGCAUGGGGAGCGAACAGGAUUAGAUACCCUGGUAGUCCAUGCCGUAAACGUUGGGAACUAGAUGUAGGGGCCAUUCCACGGUUUCUGUGUCGCAGCUAACGCAUUAAGU
RNAcentral lists this ribosomal RNA (798 nucleotides) under Frondihabitans sp. Its description in RNAcentral is "bacterial SSU rRNA". It matches the Rfam family "Bacterial small subunit ribosomal RNA", at positions 56 to 865 of the family's 1533-position model. Lineage: Bacteria; Bacillati; Actinomycetota; Actinomycetes; Micrococcales; Microbacteriaceae. The record is from RNAcentral.